UACGUAGGGUCCGAGCGUUGUCCGGAGUUACUGGGCGUAAAGGGCGCGCAGGUGGCGGUGCUGGCCCGGCGUGAAAGCCCCCGGCUCAACUGGGGAGGGUCGUCGGGGACCGCACCGCUUGAGGGCGGUAGGGGCUGGUGGAAUGCCUGGUGUAGUGGUGAAAUGCGUAGAGAUCAGGCGGAACACCCGUAGCGAAGGCGGCCAGCUGGGCCGACCCUGACACUGAGGCGCGAAGGCGUGGGGAGCGAACGGG
Molecule: ribosomal RNA, 253 nt
Filed under: uncultured bacterium
Lineage: Bacteria
Description: partial 16S ribosomal RNA
Rfam family: Bacterial small subunit ribosomal RNA
Source: RNAcentral